CACGAAGUUAGCCGGUGCUUAUUCUGUCGGUAACGUCAAAACACUAACGUAUUAGGUUAAUGCCCUUCCUCCCAACUUAAAGUGCUUUACAAUCCGAAGACCUUCUUCACACACGCGGCAUGGCUGGAUCAGGCUUUCGCCCAUUGUCCAAUAUUCCCCA
This 160-nucleotide ribosomal RNA is filed under the name uncultured bacterium. RNAcentral's name for it is "partial 16S ribosomal RNA". The record is from RNAcentral.